CCAGACUCCUACGGGAGGCAGCAGUGGGGAAUAUUGGGCACUGGGCGCAAGCCUUCCCCAGCAACUCCGCUUGAAGGAAGAAGGCUUUCGGGUUGUCCCCUUCUUUUGGCCUUUAAGAGCAGCCGCCGGUACCUGUCUCCUCAGCCACGUCUCCCUACGUGCCCUCCUCCGCGGUAAUCCGUCUGGUGCAAUCUUUGUCCGGAAUCCUUUGGCGUAAAGAGUUCGUAGGCGGCAUGUAAAGUCAGGUGUUAAAGGCGCAGGCGCAACCGGUGUAUGGCACUUGAUACUUGCAAGCUGGAAUGCGGUAGAGGGAAAGGGAAUUCCGGGUGUAGCGGUGAAAUGCUUAGAUAGAAGGAGGAACAUCGGUGGCGUAAGCGCUGUACUGGGCCGUAAUUGACGCUGAGGAACGAAAGCCAGGGUAGCAAAGGGGAUUAGAUACCCUCGUAGUU
Molecule: ribosomal RNA, 449 nt
Filed under: uncultured bacterium
Lineage: Bacteria
Description: partial 16S ribosomal RNA
Rfam family: Bacterial small subunit ribosomal RNA
Source: RNAcentral